RNAcentral lists this ribosomal RNA (386 nucleotides) under uncultured bacterium. RNAcentral's name for it is "bacterial SSU rRNA". It matches the Rfam family "Bacterial small subunit ribosomal RNA", at positions 103 to 507 of the family's 1533-position model. The record is from RNAcentral.
CGGGUGAGUAACGCGUGGGUAACCUGCCCUGUACAGGGGGAUAACACUUAGAAAUAGGUGCUAAAACCGCAUAAGCGCACAGUACCGCAUGGUACAGUGUGAAAAACUCCGGUGGUACAGGAUGGACCCGCGUCUGAUUAGCUAGUUGGAGGGGUAACGGCCCACCAAGGCGACGAUCAGUAGCCGGCCUGAGAGGGUGAACGGCCACAUUGGGACUGAGACACGGCCCAAACUCCUACGGGAGGCAGCAGUGGGGAAUAUUGCACAAUGGGGGAAACCCUGAUGCAGCGACGCCGCGUGAGUGAAGAAGUAUUUCGGUAUGUAAAGCUCUAUCAGCAGGGAAGAUAAUGACGGUACCUGACUAAGAAGCCCCGGCUAACUACGUG